CAGCUAAGUGGCGCACGGGUGAGUAAUGUAUAGAUAACCUGCCCUUAAGAAAGGAAUAACAGUUGGAAACGACUGCUAAUGCCCUAUAUGCCUUUAAUACAUAAGUAUGCAAGGGAAACGCUUUAGUGCUUAAGGAUGGGUCUGUAUGGUAUCAGCUUGUUGGCGAGGUAAUGGCUCACCAAGGCUAUGACGCCUAACUGGUUUGAGAGGAUGAUCAGUCACACUGGAACUGAGACACGGUCCAGACUCCUACGGGAGGCAGCAGUGGGGAAUAUUGCACAAUGGACGAAAGUCUGAUGCAGCAACGCCGCGUGGAGGAUGACACAUUUCGGUGCGUAAACUCCUUUUAUAUAGGAAGAUAAUGACGGUACUAUAUGAAUAAGCACCGGCUAACUCCGUGCCAGCAGCCGCGGUAAUACGGAGGGUGCAAGCGUUACUCGGAAUCACUGGGCGUAAAGAGCGUGUAGGCGGGUAUAUAAGUCAGAAGUGAAAUCCAAUAGCUCAACUAUUGAACUGCUUUUGAAACUGUAUACCUAGAAUGUGGGAGAGGUAGAUGGAAUUUCUGGUGUAGGGGUAAAAUCCGUAGAGAUCAGAAGGAAUACCGAUUGCGAAGGCGAUCUACUGGAACAUUAUUGACGCUGAGACGCGAAAGCGUGGGGAGCAAACAGGAUUAGAUACCCUGGUAGUCCACGCCCUAAACGAUGUACACUAGUUGUUGUGAGGCUCGACCUUGCAGUAAUGCAGUUAACACAUUAAGUGUACCGCCUGGGGAGUACGGUCGCAAGAUUAAAACUCAAAGGA
RNAcentral lists this ribosomal RNA (801 nucleotides) under uncultured bacterium. RNAcentral's name for it is "bacterial SSU rRNA". It matches the Rfam family "Bacterial small subunit ribosomal RNA", at positions 88 to 908 of the family's 1533-position model. The record is from RNAcentral.